UGGGGAAUUUUGGACAAUGGGCGAAAGCCUGAUCCAGCAAUGCCGCGUGUGUGAAGAAGGCCUUCGGGUUGUAAAGCACUUUUGUCCGGAAAGAAAUCCUUGGCUCUAAUACAGUCGGGGGAUGACGGUACCGGAAGAAUAAGCACCGGCUAACUACGUGCCAGCAGCCGCGGUAAUACGUAGGGUGCAAGCGUUAAUCGGAAUUACUGGGCGUAAAGCGUGCGCAGGCGGUUUGCUAAGACCGAUGUGAAAUCCCCGGGCUCAACCUGGGAACUGCAUUGGUGACUGGCAGGCUAGAGUAUGGCAGAGGGGGGUAGAAUUCCACGUGUAGCAGUGAAAUGCGUAGAGAUGUGGAGGAAUACCGAUGGCGAAGGCAGCCCCCUGGGCCAAAUACUGACGCUCAUGCACGAAAAGCGUGGGGAGCAAAACAGGAUUAGAUACCCUGGUAGUCCACGCCCUAAAACGAUGUCAACUAGUUGUUGGGGAUUCAUUUCCUUAGUAACGUAGCUAACGCGUGAAGUUGACCGCCUGGGGAGUACGGUCGCAAGAUUAAAACUUAAAGGAAUUGAC
Molecule: ribosomal RNA, 570 nt
Filed under: uncultured bacterium
Lineage: Bacteria
Description: partial 16S ribosomal RNA
Rfam family: Bacterial small subunit ribosomal RNA
Source: RNAcentral